Long non-coding RNA from Vidua chalybeata, 294 nucleotides. RefSeq lists it as uncharacterized. The record is from RefSeq and is a predicted model, not a curated record. The transcript is spliced from 2 exons. NCBI's taxonomy places the organism in Eukaryota, Metazoa, Chordata, Aves, Passeriformes, Viduidae.
AGACUGUCUUCUAAGGCAAACUAUCACCAAUGGAAGAAAAACUUGUUUUUCCAUCAUUUUGGGUUGGCUGGAUUAACUGGCUGUCAUUCAGAGGGAACUUGGCAGAUCUAUUUUGCUUUUGUUGAACCUCUCUACAGCACAUCAUAAAGAUUUCCUAGGUCCAGAAGCUACAGAAAAGACAACUAAGCAGCAGAAAAAUGUGACUCUGAGAAGAGACUUCAAGCCUUUUGAUGAUGAAUUUUCUACUGAUCAGUUCUAAUUUAAAUAUAUAACUGAAGCAUGCAUAAAAGUUAA